Molecule: long non-coding RNA, 591 nt
Organism: Melanaphis sacchari
Lineage: Eukaryota; Metazoa; Arthropoda; Insecta; Hemiptera; Aphididae
Exons: 3
Source: RefSeq, a predicted model, not a curated record
AUAGCCGUUAACGCCGUUAACGAAUUAAUUUGAUGACUUAAAUUUAAAUAACUGACAAACGCGUAGUGUGUGUACUCGUACAGUUGUAUAUUGUUACUGGGAAUUUGUUACUAGAAAAACGUUCAAACCAUCAUUUAAUCGUGAGAAAACCAUUUGGAAAGUUUGAUUUUUGGCAGGAAAUUUUUCCUUAAAAGAAUAUUGAAGGAAUAAUUGAAAUAAAGUUAUAUCUCUGUUAUAUCCAGUUCAAUCAAAUUAGAUUACAUAUUACAAUGAAUACCAAAUAAUCACAACCGCAACAAGAUUAUAUUCCAAUUAUUCGAUUAUAGAAGUAGAUUCAGUUUUAUAUACUUUAUCUUUAAGAUAACCCCAUAAGAAAAAGUCUGGGCAUGUUAAAUCUGGAGACCUUGGAGGCCAGGAAAUUGGACCAACUGUUCCAAUCCAUUUUUUACCAAAUGUGUCAUUUAAGAAUGAUUUUACAAUCUAAGCAUUAUGAGCUGGGCAACCAUCUUGUUGAAAGUACAUAUCGUUCCGUAUGUCAAGAGGCACAUCUUCCAAUAAUAUGGGUAAAAUAUUUUUUAAAAAGUUUAAAUA